CCUGUGGAGUGUUGAUGAACCUGUAGUAGCGAGUAUUUGGCGAGGCAGAGCACGUUGAAACAGGAA
RNAcentral lists this small RNA (66 nucleotides) under Paenibacillus naphthalenovorans. RNAcentral's name for it is "RAGATH-18 RNA". It matches the Rfam family "RAGATH-18 RNA". From Rfam's summary of the family: Actinobacteria, Firmicutes, Fusobacteria, Thermotogae (1 example). Nearby to self-cleaving ribozyme genes The record is from Rfam by way of RNAcentral. Lineage: Bacteria; Bacillati; Bacillota; Bacilli; Caryophanales; Paenibacillaceae.